CCUAGAAUUUUAAAAACUAUUUUCCGCUUUCCCCUCUUUCCUCGAUCGUUCCCUCAUCGUCUUCCUUCGAUUUACAUCAUCGCCGCUCCCGUCGCCCCUCUUUCUGCUCCGGUUAGGUUUCCGGCGAAGCUCUAGGAAUCGCCAUGAAGCUCUCCUUCAACGCCUCCAAGAAGCCCCCGAAGCCCGCCGCCAAGCCCCUCUCCGCCCCCUUCGGCUUCGCCGACGCCGGCGACGGCCGCGGGGAGGCGCCGUCCUCAUCGGCGCGGCGCGAGGAGAUCACCCAAUUCGAUCCCUCCGAUGUCUCGGCGGACGGCAGGAGCCGGCUGGUCAUCCCGCCGAAACCCAACGAGUGGCGCCCCUCCAAGAAGAUGAAGAACCUCGACCUGCCUUUCCGCCCCGAGGAGUCCGCCGCCGGCGAUCUCUCCCGGUUCCAGUCCCAGUCCAGGUCCCUCGAGGAGGAGGCCAACGCCGGCGCCGUGUCGUACGGCCUCACCGUCCGUCGGAGAGAGAACGGCGGCGAGAUGGAGUUGGAGGGUGAGGGUGAGGGUGAGGGUGAGGGUGAGGUCGAGGUCAAGCCCGAGGCGCCCGAGAGAUCGGGGAGGCUGGAUGAUUCCGGGCUGAAACUGAGGGAGGAGCUGGCGAAGUUGGGGGAUGAUCCGGGGUACGAGGACAUGCCCGUGGAGGAAUUUGCGGCGGCCUAUCUUAGGGGUUAUGGUUGGCAAGAGGGGAAAGGGGUGGGGAAGAACGCCAAGGAGGAUGUUCCGAUUAGGCAGAUUGAGAAGAGGGGCCGAGAGAGGUUUGGGCUGGGGUUUGAGCCCCAGAAGCCAGUGCCGGAAGUGGAGGCGAACGGGAGGGAUAGUCGGGGAGGCGAUGGGAGGUUUCGAGUGGGUAAAGAGAUGAGGAUUGUUGGGGGAAGUAGAGAGGACUUGUUUGGAUUGAAGGGGAAAAUUGUGGAAGUAGUUGGUGGCGAAUCGGUGAUUCUGAAUCUCUCAAGGAGAGAAGAGGAAGUCAAGGUCAGGAUCAAGGAUCUCGCUGAGUUGGGUUCUGCUGAGGAAGAAAAGUUUUUGAGGAAGAUGAAGGAGCUUCGUAUUAAGAAUGAUAGCUCUGGAAGUCGUAGAAAGAGUGGAGAUGAAGUGAAGAGAGAUGUUCGAAAUGGUGGAGAUAAGAGGGGUGACAGUGGUAAAGUUGGGUGGCUGAUGAGUCACAUUAGAGUUAGAGUGAUCAGCAAGAAUUUGAAAGGUGGGAGAUUGUAUCUGAAGAAGGGAAGGGUGGUUGAUGUCGUUGGACCGAAGAUUUGUGAUAUAUUGAUGGAUGAGAGCAAAGAACUUAUUCAAGGUGUAGAUCAAGAUUAUCUCGAGACUGCAUUACCCAAGCGUGGGGGUCCAGUUUUUGUUUUGUCUGGUCGUUAUAAGGGUGUCCAUGGGAGUCUAGUGGACAGGGAUUCUGACAGAGAGACUGGUGUAGUCCGCGAUGCUGACAGUCAGGAGUUGUUCAAUGUGCGGCUUGAUCAAAUUGCUGAGUACGUUGGAGAUCCAAGCUUAAUUGGAUAUUGAUUUGCUCCAUGCCACAACAGUGUGAAAAGGAUGACAUUGAAAGGACCAGAAGGAAAAAAAGAAAAAGAAAAAAGAACCUGCUCGCAAUGAUUCUAUUAUCUGGCUAACUACAACGGAAUGGAAGGAAAUUCAUUUACUUACUGGUGGACCCAAAAAAGGUCUCUCCAAAGUCAGAGGGUUCUCGCUAGUAUUUGCUCAUGGAGAGUUGGAUCUGUUGCUCUCCAGGGAUGGUUAUACGAUGCAAUUGAAUCACAGGGCCAUGGCAAACAUUUGCUGAACGCCUAAAAUGUUAUGAGGAGCAGCAGAUGACCACCCAAGAUUUGAUACAGAUACUUCCUAAAUAUUCAUCGAACCAUCUGUGUUUAGAUCUUGACAUCCACAAUUCUCCGUAGUUCACUUGUGUGCGUAGCUCCGUGAUGGAACAUCCCAUCAAAAGUUGGAUGUUCAGCGGAUUUUGAUCAGCACAACUGACAUCCAGGUUGCCAUAAAAUGAGAAGACUGCAGGCUGCUAUGUAACUAGUCCAGAUUACUUCCAGGUGAUGGAAGUGAGGAGCUUCUUGCCUCCCUUGUUUCUGUCUCUUUUCCAGUAUCCUUUAUUGGAGGAGAAAAAGAGGUUUGCUGGAUAUGUUUGCUGUAUUUUCCUCCACUGUGCAGACACAAUAUCUGCUUCUGUGAGCAUCGCGGCACGGUUUGAUCCAGCGUUCGUUCUGGACAUGCAUUGAGUUUGUCCAUGCAUGUCCAGAGCGAACAUCCUGUACAUCGCGCUUGUUUUCCGGACCUAGCUGCGACUCUGGUUUGAUGACUUGGAGGUUGUAUUUUCCCCGUUGUUUCCAACUAGUGCUGCUUCCCGGCUUCCCGGUAGUCAUGUAUUGCCUUUAGCUCUGCUCAACCCCUUGUUAGAAGGGGCGAGUGGAUUUAAUUUGAUACCUUGAAAGGUUUCAUAUUUAAGAGACCGAGCAGCGACUCUGCCAUAUCUCGGAUGCGACGAACGGCGACGUUCCCAAAUGGUCUCCCCCUUUGUAGUGGUUUUGUUAAGGUAGGGGCGGGCCGGCAAGAGUUCUGAUUAGAAAUGAUGCUUGAAUUAGAGCAGCUCAUUGUCCAACCGCCAGUCACGGCCCCUCCCCCUUUGAUAAAAGUCUUAAUCUAAAAGGUACUGACAUCGUCACGUGACACGAGAUAAGAUAUGUUGAUAGAGAAUUUGGAUA
RNA transcript from Eucalyptus grandis, 2758 nucleotides. It is a transcript of the gene named protein MOS2, with no coding region annotated. The record is from RefSeq and is a predicted model, not a curated record. NCBI's taxonomy places the organism in Eukaryota, Viridiplantae, Streptophyta, Magnoliopsida, Myrtales, Myrtaceae. The transcript has 3 exons.